This 73-nucleotide transfer RNA is filed under the name Stegodyphus mimosarum. It matches the Rfam family "tRNA". Rfam says of the family: Transfer RNA (tRNA) molecules are approximately 80 nucleotides in length. Lineage: Eukaryota; Metazoa; Arthropoda; Arachnida; Araneae; Eresidae. The record is from Rfam by way of RNAcentral.
GCCUUCGUGGUGUAGUGGCCAGCACGCUCGACGCGUAUUCGAGAGGUCCGUGGUUCGAAUCCCAGCGAGGCCU